UAUUAUUUUUGAUGUUAAUUAUUUAACCUGAGUAGUAAUAGAUAUGUUCUUGAAACUUAAAGAAUUUGGCAGUAUUUUAUUCUGUUUAGAGGAACCUGUUCUUUUAUCGAUAAUCCUCGUUGGACCUUACUUAAUUUAUUGAUUUGUAUACCGCCGUUGUAUUGAGGAUCUUUAUAGUGUUUUAAUUUUCUUAAUUUUAUUUGAAGUUAUUUCAGGUCAAGGUGCAAUUUAUGGUUAAGUAGAAAUGGGUUACGUUUAUAUUUAUUUUUGGAUUGUUAAAUGAAAUUUUAAUAUGAAAUUGGAUUUGAAUGUAAUUAUUAUUUUAGAUUGUAUUAAUGAUUUAGUUUCUAGAGUGUGUACACAUCGCCCGUCACUCUCGUUAUUUAUUCGAG
RNAcentral lists this ribosomal RNA (392 nucleotides) under Cryptocercus wolongensis. RNAcentral's name for it is "partial 12S small subunit ribosomal RNA". The record is from RNAcentral. Lineage: Eukaryota; Metazoa; Arthropoda; Insecta; Blattodea; Cryptocercidae.